ACCUUCUUCGGAGGGUAUGCUUAAAGAGGGGCUUGCGUCACAUUAGUUAGUUGGUAGGGUAAUGGCCUACCAAGACGAUGAUGUGUAGCUGGACUGAGAGGUUGAACAGCCACAUUGGGACUGAGACACGGCCCAAACUCCUACGGGAGGCAGCAGUAGGGAAUUUUCGGCAAUGGAGGAAACUCUGACCGAGCAACGCCGCGUGAACGACGAAGUACUUCGGUAUGUAAAGUUCUUUUAUUGAAGAAGAAACAAUAGUGGAAAAACUAUCUUGACGUUAUUCAAUGAAUAAGCCCCGGCUAACUAUGUGCCAGCAGCCGCGGUAAUACAUAGGGGGCGAGCGUUAUCCGGAAUUAUUGGGCGUAAAGGGUGCGUAGGCGGUUUAAUAAGUCUCUAGUUUAAUUUCAACGCUUAACGUUGUCCUGCUAGAGAAACUGUUUGACUAGAGUGAGAUAGAGGUAAGCGGAAUUCCAUGUGUAGCGGUAAAAUGUGUAAAUAUAUGGAGGAACACCAGAGGCGUAGGCGGCUUACUGGGUCUUUACUGACGCUGAUGCACGAAAGCGUGGGGAGCAAACAGGAUUAGAUACCCUGGUAGUCCACGCCGUAAACUAUGAGUACUAAGUGUCGGGGUUAAACUCGGUACUGAAGUUAACACAUUAAGUACUCCGCCUGAGUAGUACGUACGCAAGUAUGAAACUUAAAGGAAUUGACGGGAUCCCGCACAAGCGGUGGAUCAUGUUGUUUAAUUCGAAGAUACACGAAAAACCUUACCAGGUCUUGACAUACUCUGCAAAACUAUAGAAAUAUAGUGGAGGUUAUCAGGGAUACAGGUGGUGCAUGGUUGUCGUCAGCUCGUGUCGUGAGAUGUUAGGUUAAGUUCUAAAACGAGCGCAACCCCUGUCGUUAAUUGCCAGCACGUUAUGGUGGGGACUUUAGCGAGACUGCCAAUGAAAAAUUGGAGGAAGGUGGGGAUUACGUCAAAUCAUCAUGCCCCUUAUGAUCUGGGCUACAAACGUGAUACAAUGGCUAUUACAAAGAGUAGCUUAAACGCGAGUUUUUGGCAAAUCUCAAAAAAAUAGUCUUAGUUCGGAUUGAAGUCUGCAACUCGACUUCAUGAAGUUGGAAUCGCUAGUAAUCGCGAAUCAGCAUGUCGCGGUGAAUACGUU
This 1166-nucleotide ribosomal RNA is filed under the name 'Cocos nucifera' decline phytoplasma. Its description in RNAcentral is "bacterial SSU rRNA". It matches the Rfam family "Bacterial small subunit ribosomal RNA", at positions 208 to 1372 of the family's 1533-position model. Lineage: Bacteria; Bacillati; Mycoplasmatota; Mollicutes; Acholeplasmatales; Acholeplasmataceae. The record is from RNAcentral.